CCGGCGAACGGGUGCGUAACACGUGAGCAACCUGCCACCGUGUGGGGCAUAGCCGGCCUAACGGCCGGGUAAUUCCGCAUACGACCUUCUGGGGACAUCUCCGGAAGAGGAAACGAGUAAUCGGUACGGUGAGGGGCUCGCGGCCUAUCAGCUAGUUGGUGAGGGUAACGGCCCACCAAGGCGACGACGGGUAGCUGGUCUGAGAGGAUGGCCAGCCACAUUGGGACUGAGAAACGGCCCAG
RNAcentral lists this ribosomal RNA (242 nucleotides) under uncultured bacterium. RNAcentral describes it as "partial 16S ribosomal RNA". It matches the Rfam family "Bacterial small subunit ribosomal RNA", at positions 95 to 334 of the family's 1533-position model. The record is from RNAcentral.